Molecule: long non-coding RNA, 442 nt
Filed under: Bemisia tabaci
Lineage: Eukaryota; Metazoa; Arthropoda; Insecta; Hemiptera; Aleyrodidae
Description: lncRNA ENSSSA3NGG012775
Source: RNAcentral
AUGCUGGCAACGUUGUUCCAAGCACUGAGUGCAGGAUUAAAUACCCUACAAGUUCGCCAAAUAUACGCGGCCACUGUGGCAGGUAUGGCCAAGGAAGCGGCAAGAGUUUCCAACACGGAGAGAGCACUCGACGUCCCCCCUUCUCGUCGACCCCCUACCGAGGAUGACAUCAACGACUUCGUGAAGAUGCUGGCAACGGUGUUCCAACUACAGUUUCGAGGAUUAAAUCUCGUACAAGUUAGCUACAUCUUCCUGGCCGCUUUGGGAUGUAUGAUCGAAGAAGCGGUAAAAAGACAGGAGAGGGAAAACGUUCAUAUGCGUCAAAAGUACAAAUGCGGACUACAUUUGCCUUUGCAUUGAAAUAUUCUUCUAAUGGGUUAGGUUGACCAACAACAAUGACCGCAAUCGUCUUCUUACCUCCUUUCCUAGGAACACUCUCAAG